AACGAACGCUGGCGGCAUGCCUAACACAUGCAAGUCGAACGAGACCUUCGGGUCUAGUGGCGCACGGGUGCGUAACGCGUGGGAACCUGCCCUUAGGUUCGGAAUAACUCCCCGAAAGGGGUGCUAAUACCGGAUAAUGUCUUCGGACCAAAGAUUUAUCGCCUUUGGAUGGGCCCGCGUUGGAUUAGCUAGUUGGUAGGGUAAAAGCCUACCAAGGCGACGAUCCAUAGCUGGUCUGAGAGGAUGAUCAGCCACACUGGGACUGAGACACGGCCCAGAAUCCUACGGGAGGCAGCAGUGGUGAAUAUUGGAAAAUGGACGAAAGCCUGAUCCAGCAAUGCCGGGUGAGUGAUGAAGGCCUUAAAGUUGUAAAGCUCUUUUACCCGGGAUGAUAAUGACAGUACCGGGAGAAUAAGCUCCGGCUAACUCCGUG
Molecule: ribosomal RNA, 433 nt
Filed under: uncultured bacterium
Lineage: Bacteria
Description: partial 16S ribosomal RNA
Rfam family: Bacterial small subunit ribosomal RNA
Source: RNAcentral